GAUGAACGCUGGCGGCGUGCCUAAUACAUGCAAGUCGAGCGAACGGACGAGAAGCUUGCUUCUCUGAUGUUAGCGGCGGACGGGUGAGUAACACGUGGAUAACCUACCUAUAAGACUGGGAUAACUUCGGGAAACCGGAGCUAAUACCGGAUAAUAUUUUGAACCGCAUGGUUCAAAAGUGAAAGACGGUCUUGCUGUCACUUAUAGAUGGAUCCGCGCUGCAUUAGCUAGUUGGUAAGGUAACGGCUUACCAAGGCAACGAUGCAUAGCCGACCUGAGAGGGUGAUCGGCCACACUGGAACUGAGACACGGUCCAGACUCAUACGGGAGGCAGCAGUAGGGAAUCUUCCGCAAUGGGCGAAAGCCUGACGGAGCAACGCCGCGUGAGUGAUGAAGGUCUUCGGAUCGUAAAACUCUGUUAUUAGGGAAGAACAUAUGUGUAAGUAACUGUGCACAUCUUGACGGUACCUAAUCAGAAAGCCACGGCUAACUACGUGCCAGCAGCCGCGGUAAUACGUAGGUGGCAAGCGUUAUCCGGAAUUAUUGGGCGUAAAGCGCGCGUAGGCGGUUUUUUAAGUCUGAUGUGAAAGCCCACGGCUCAACCGUGGAGGGUCAUUGGAAACUGGAAAACUUGAGUGCAGAAGAGGAAAGUGGAAUUCCAUGUGUAGCGGUGAAAUGCGCAGAGAUAUGGAGGAACACCAGUGGCGAAGGCGACUUUCUGGUCUGUAACUGACGCUGAUGUGCGAAAGCGUGGGGAUCAAACAGGAUUAGAUACCCUGGUAGUCCACGCCGUAAACGAUGAGUGCUAAGUGUUAGGGGGUUUCCGCCCCUUAGUGCUGCAGCUAACGCAUUAAGCACUCCGCCUGGGGAGUACGACCGCAAGGUUGAAACUCAAAGGAAUUGACGGGGACCCGCACAAGCGGUGGAGCAUGUGGUUUAAUUCGAAGCAACGCGAAGAACCUUACCAAAUCUUGACAUCCUUUGACAACUCUAGAGAUAGAGCCUUCCCCUUCGGGGGACAAAGUGACAGGUGGUGCAUGGUUGUCGUCAGCUCGUGUCGUGAGAUGUUGGGUUAAGUCCCGCAACGAGCGCAACCCUUAAGCUUAGUUGCCAUCAUUAAGUUGGGCACUCUAAGUUGACUGCCGGUGACAAACCGGAGGAAGGUGGGGAUGACGUCAAAUCAUCAUGCCCCUUAUGAUUUGGGCUACACACGUGCUACAAUGGACAAUACAAAGGGCAGCGAAACCGCGAGGUCAAGCAAAUCCCAUAAAGUUGUUCUCAGUUCGGAUUGUAGUCUGCAACUCGACUACAUGAAGCUGGAAUCGCUAGUAAUCGUAGAUCAGCAUGCUACGGUGAAUACGUUCCCGGGUCU
RNAcentral lists this ribosomal RNA (1372 nucleotides) under uncultured bacterium. RNAcentral's name for it is "bacterial SSU rRNA". It matches the Rfam family "Bacterial small subunit ribosomal RNA", at positions 28 to 1381 of the family's 1533-position model. The record is from RNAcentral.